This 1406-nucleotide ribosomal RNA is filed under the name Synechococcus sp. MI0608E. RNAcentral's name for it is "16S ribosomal RNA". It matches the Rfam family "Bacterial small subunit ribosomal RNA". Lineage: Bacteria; Bacillati; Cyanobacteriota; Cyanophyceae; Synechococcales; Synechococcaceae. The record is from RNAcentral.
GUUAGUGGCGGACGGGUGAGUAACGCGUGAGAAUCUGCCCUCAGGAGGGGGAUAACGGUUGGAAACGACCGCUAAUACCCCAUAUGCCGCGAGGUGAAAUGAAUUUCGCCUGAGGAUGAGCUCGCGUCUGAUUAGCUAGUUGGUGGGGUAAGAGCCUACCAAGGCUUCGAUCAGUAGCUGGUCUGAGAGGAUGAUCAGCCACACUGGGACUGAGACACGGCCCAGACUCCUACGGGAGGCAGCAGUGGGGAAUUUUCCGCAAUGGGCGAAAGCCUGACGGAGCAACGCCGCGUGAGGGAUGAAGGCCUCUGGGCUGUAAACCUCUUUUAUCAAGGAAGAAGAUCUGACGGUACUUGAUGAAUAAGCCACGGCUAAUUCCGUGCCAGCAGCCGCGGUAAUACGGGAGUGGCAAGCGUUAUCCGGAAUUAUUGGGCGUAAAGCGUCCGCAGGCGGUCUUACAAGUCUGUCGUUAAAGCGUGGAGCUUAACUCCAUUUCGGCGAUGGAAACUGUAAGACUAGAGUGUGGUAGGGGCAGAGGGAAUUCCCGGUGUAGCGGUGAAAUGCGUAGAUAUCGGGAAGAACACCAGUGGCGAAGGCGCUCUGCUGGGCCAUAACUGACGCUCAUGGACGAAAGCUAGGGGAGCGAAAGGGAUUAGAUACCCCUGUAGUCCUAGCCGUAAACGAUGAACACUAGGUGUCGGGGGAAUCGACCCCCUCGGUGUCGUAGCCAACGCGUUAAGUGUUCCGCCUGGGGAGUACGCACGCAAGUGUGAAACUCAAAGGAAUUGACGGGGGCCCGCACAAGCGGUGGAGUAUGUGGUUUAAUUCGAUGCAACGCGAAGAACCUUACCAGGGUUUGACAUCCUGCGAAUCCCUUGGAAACUUGGGAGUGCCUUCGGGAGCGCAGUGACAGGUGGUGCAUGGCUGUCGUCAGCUCGUGUCGUGAGAUGUUGGGUUAAGUCCCGCAACGAGCGCAACCCACGUCUUUAGUUGCCAGCAUUCAGUUGGGCACUCUAGAGAGACCGCCGGUGAUAAACCGGAGGAAGGUGUGGAUGACGUCAAGUCAUCAUGCCCCUUACAUCCUGGGCUACACACGUACUACAAUGCUACGGACAAAGGGCAGCAAACUCGCGAGAGCUAGCCAAUCCCAUAAACCGUGGCUCAGUUCAGAUCGUAGGCUGCAACUCGCCUACGUGAAGGAGGAAUCGCUAGUAAUCGCAGGUCAGCAUACUGCGGUGAAUACGUUCCCGGGCCUUGUACACACCGCCCGUCACACCAUGGAAGUUGGCCACGCCCGAAGUCGUUACUCCAACCCUUGUGGAGGAGGAUGCCGAAGGUGGGGCUGAUGACUGGGGUGAAGUCGUAACAAGGUAGCCGUACCGGAAGGUGCGGCUGGAUCACCUCCU